GGCUUUUUAUUAAACAAAAUUCUACUAGAUCUAAAAAUUUUAAAAACCUGUUCACUCAUAUGAAUGGAAAAUACAUUUAUUUUCGGCCUUUGAAAUUCGUCUGGUAGGACGCGGAACGUUAAUGUCAUUGCCUUGGCUUUUGAUUUUUCCCAAGAAUGGUUUUGGUUUCACCAUCAAAUAUUUUAUAUAGUUCUGUGGAACAAAUAACACAUUGGAAUUUGCAUCACUUUUGUCUUUCAAUGUUUUAAAUUUAGAUAAUAAGUCAUCGCAUUGACUCUUUAUAAUAUCAAAAUGCAAACAAAAAUUUAAACCCUUAUCAAUAUUUUCCAGUUCACUCUUUGUUUUUUCCACUUCACAUUUUAGUGCCCUUAUUUCUUUAUCCGAAGAAUUUUUUUUUAGUUUUAUAUAUGGUACAUUGACAAGUACUCUUUCCAUUUUAUCAAUCUCAUCCAAAGCAUUUUGGUAAAACAAUCCUAAGUUCAACUUCAUAUUGUUAAAAUCGAUUUUAGUUUUCUCAAUACUUUCCUUAUGAAUUUUCCUUUUAUGUGAACAUGAUACAACUUCGUCCAUUUCUUUUAUCUGAUCAACAAGUUCCUGUCUCAUUUCCUCGACUUGGUCUUUUUUCUUAUUGAAACCUUCCUUUAAAGUCACUAUCUCGCACUUUUGAUACCUAUGAUUCUCAAUUAAGCAGUCACGUGAACACAAAACUGAAUGAUCCGUAAAACAAUAGAAUAUAUAAUUCCAUUGGUGAGUGUUCAGUUGUAUGUCCACAAAAACUUGUUUCACAACAAAAAUU
Molecule: long non-coding RNA, 796 nt
Filed under: Mytilus galloprovincialis (Mediterranean mussel)
Lineage: Eukaryota; Metazoa; Mollusca; Bivalvia; Mytilida; Mytilidae
Source: RNAcentral